GUGCUCGUGUUGGCAGCACAUAUACUAAAGUUGGAACAACACAGAGAAGAUUAGCGUGGUCCUUGUGCAAGGAUGACAUGAAAAUUCGUGAAGCAUUUCAUAUUUUU
Molecule: small nuclear RNA, 107 nt
Organism: Diceros bicornis minor
Lineage: Eukaryota; Metazoa; Chordata; Mammalia; Perissodactyla; Rhinocerotidae
Source: RefSeq, a predicted model, not a curated record